AUGAACGCUGGCGGCGUGCCUAAUGCAUGCAAGUCGAGCGAACAGACGAGGAGCUUGCUCCUCUGACGUUAGCGGCGGACGGGUGAGUAACACGUGGAUAACCUACCUAUAAGACUGGGAUAACUUCGGGAAACCGGAGCUAAUACCGGAUAAUAUAUUGAACCGCAUGGUUCAAUAGUGGAAGACGGUUUUGCUGUCACUUAUAGAUGGAUCCGCGCCGCAUUAGCUAGUUGGUAAGGUAACGGCUUACCAAGGCAACGAUGCGUAGCCGACCUGAGAGGGUGAUCGGCCACACUGGAACUGAGACACGGUCCAGACUCCUACGGGAGGCAGCAGUAGGGAAUCUUCCGCAAUGGGCGAAAGCCUGACGGAGCAACGCCGCGUGAGUGAUGAAGGUCUUCGGAUCGUAAAACUCUGUUAUUAGGGAAGAACAAAUGUGUAAGUAACUAUGCACGUCUUGACGGUACCUAAUCAGAAAGCCACGGCUAACUACGUG
Molecule: ribosomal RNA, 496 nt
Filed under: uncultured bacterium
Lineage: Bacteria
Description: partial 16S ribosomal RNA
Rfam family: Bacterial small subunit ribosomal RNA
Source: RNAcentral